RNAcentral lists this long non-coding RNA (709 nucleotides) under Apteryx owenii (little spotted kiwi). RNAcentral describes it as "lncRNA (ENSAOWG00000013880.1)". The record is from RNAcentral. Lineage: Eukaryota; Metazoa; Chordata; Aves; Apterygiformes; Apterygidae.
UUUACACAUUUCCACCAUUGCUGACCACUGAACUAUUACCAUAUUUGCCUCAUCAGAAUCCAGUUCAGGAAUGUGCUCUGAAUUGACUUGAUGGAAAUUAUGGCUUCAAAUACAUAAGUGACAGAAAGCCCUCUGAAUCUGACAACUACUGGGAAAUCUGAAGAAAUUUCAAUUUCAGCCUCCCUCCUGCUUCUGAGCACUACAGAUUUGGGGAAGUGAUUCAGACAGCAUCCUGCCUCUUGAAAUUUCAUACAAAUUUAUUUCUACCCCAUUCCUGAUUUAUAACCUGAAGGAUUGUGAGUCGAAAGAUUGUGAGUCUUGCUAAAGCAAGAGAAAAUGUUGACUCUUAAAUAUCUUGUGCUUGAUCUUUCAAACUAAAUGGAGGUGACAUUCACUCACACGUUUACACAAAUGGAAACAUGGCAUUCAUGAGUCACUGAUAUUAAUGUGGGAUUAGGAACAAAAACCUAUGCUUCUUGACACCUACCUUCAGGUCUUCAAUGAACUGAGGGCUCAGUCUUCAGUGUUGUUUGGGGAACAUCUUCAAUUUCUGAGAACAUUGAAAACAAAAUGCUCCCCGCUAACAGGGCUGACCCUAAAGAAACUGUGCCAACUGGAAGGUUGAUGUCUGCCAACAUCCACCGCAAUGAUUCUUCUCUUGGUAAAAAAGAAAACAUAAGUAUCACAGAUAGCAUUUCUUAAUCUGCUG